UCCCUGGUGGCUCAGACAGUAAAGCGUCUGCCUACAAUGCGGGUGGCCCGGGUUCAAUCCCUGGGUCGGGAA
RNAcentral lists this transfer RNA (72 nucleotides) under Ovis aries (sheep). It matches the Rfam family "tRNA". Rfam says of the family: Transfer RNA (tRNA) molecules are approximately 80 nucleotides in length. Their secondary structure includes four short double-helical elements and three loops (D, anti-codon, and T loops). Lineage: Eukaryota; Metazoa; Chordata; Mammalia; Artiodactyla; Bovidae. The record is from Rfam by way of RNAcentral.